UCCUCACACUUUACCUCACUUCUCACCGUCAUCUCACUCUCACUCUCACUCUCACUCUCGCUUCUCACUCUCACUAAUGGCUUCUUCUAUCUUUUGCGCAUAGCUUCAAUGGCUGCGUCAACUCAUUCUCCUUUUGGAUCUUCAUGUGGUAAGUUGCUAGGCUCAUGUUGAUCAUGCUCUGUUGCUAUGUAUAAGUUGCUUCGAGGGAGGAGGUUCAAUUCUUUAAAAGGCCAUCUACAAAAUAUUGUGCUUGAAGUUGGCCUUGGUUUCUAAGUGCAAAUGGAGGACUUUGUUGCUGAUGACUCUUCCACUCAGAAAGAAGAGCUGAGGAAACCCAUGCGAAAGAGUUCAUGUUCCUGUAUCUAUUGCUGAGACUAGGAUUUCCAAAAGAUAUGAUGCUAUUCCAAGUGGAACACUAUAUCCAAAUGCUGAUGAAAUUAAGUAUCUUCAAAGGCUUCUGAUUUACAAGGCAUGGCUUUCAUUGAAUAUCAUCUCUAUUUUAUAUUACAGUUUUCUGUUAGUAUUCUUGUUGUUAAAUUGCAUGGAAAUAUAUUUUGUUCACUACAUAUUGUGCUCAAAUGUAUUAUUACUUUCAGCGGCUAUUAUUGUGCUAAAUAAACCUCCAAAAUUGCCGGUUAAGGUUUGAAUGUCUAUUCUCUUACAUUUACAGGAAUUAACUUUGACUUUAUUGUGAGAUUUUAAUUUCUUGCUGAUGACCUUGUUAGGGGAAUUUGCCAGUUCAUAAUAGCAUGGAUGCAUUGGUAGCUGCAGCACUGUCCUAUGAUUAUGAUGAGGGUCCUAAACUGGUGCUUCUAAAUGAUGGAUUCCUCUGUACCUUAUUUCAUAUUCUUCAUACUCCUACUCCUGUAGACCACAAAAUCACAAUUACCUACAAAAUCUAUUGUAACUGUAAAAACAGAAUCACAAUCAACUAAAAUUCCAAUUGUUAUAGUGGAAACAGAGGUUAACAAAAACAAUAUGGUUCAAGAUGAUGACCUCACUUCCUUGCUCAAGCUUACUAGAAAAGAUAAUGAUGAAGUUGUUCGCAUACUAGCAGCAAAGACAAUUGCCAAUUUAUUCAUGAAUGGAAAUUGAUGAACCUGCAUUGAAGGAGGACAUUUGUUUAUUUUGUGCUUUGCAGGAUUCAAUUGCAAUUGAUGAAGACCUUUUAGAUAUUUUAGCAAAUAGCUCUAAAUCAUAAGAGACAUUUUAGACAUUUUAGCAAAUAGCUCUAAAUCAUAAGAGACCUUGCUUUCUUUAGGGAUAUAAUAUUAAUUAUCUUAUAAAUGAAAUUAUGUAAUUUCUUUGGAUCAUGACAUCAUUGACUAUUCAUUGUCUUUUUA
Non-coding RNA from Cajanus cajan (pigeon pea), 1343 nucleotides. The record is from RefSeq and is a predicted model, not a curated record. Lineage: Eukaryota; Viridiplantae; Streptophyta; Magnoliopsida; Fabales; Fabaceae.